RNAcentral lists this long non-coding RNA (1531 nucleotides) under Phoenix dactylifera (date palm). Its description in RNAcentral is "long non-coding RNA (PDAC_LNC006474)". Lineage: Eukaryota; Viridiplantae; Streptophyta; Magnoliopsida; Arecales; Arecaceae. The record is from RNAcentral.
GCAAAGCAGGGUUUGAUGUCGACCAUCACCAGGACUGCUGUUGUCUCAGCAGCAGUACUGUGCUUCCUCGCAUCCAGGUGGCUGUCUCACUUAAUCUACAAGAAUUUCUAUUUCCAUGACUACAGUCAUGCUUUCAGAUGAUUGUUCUAGAUUUUGCCCUUUCUCUGUAAACAGAUCGAAAUGCUUAUGUGUCUAUUAUUUUAUUAUAUCUGUAAAUAAAAGGUUUCAACUAAAUUAUAGAGAUGAUAAAAGAGCAAAUACAAGAUCUACAUCUGUGCGAAAGGCAUAUUUCAGAAACAUCAUUUUUUUUUGGAUCCUGGUGUUGUGUCCAAAACUACUGUCCACUGACCUGCUAUAUUGAGUUUUAAUUUUGCAAACAUUUCUUUUCAUAUGUAUAUAUACAUACACAUAUACAUAUCUGCCUUGGCUUAUAAUCUUUAGAAUCUAUGGGAUUUACCAUGACUAAUAUUUGUCGUUUCUGGCUAAGCCAUUGCUGUGGCUAUAUUGUUAGUAAAAAUGAGAAGAUUUUGCAAAGUAUCUUUUUUUUCGUAGCUGAUAAUUUUCUUUUUUCCUCCCCUCCUCUUUCUCUUAUUGAUUGAAAAUGGCCAUUCUUGAGUUCUUGACGUUGCAGACACUAUUUAACAGAUGGGGAGCUUGGUAACUAGGAAUGUCUGCACAGGAGUGACUUGAGGUUUCUUAAACAAAACGAACCAUUUUUAACUAUAAAUUAACUUCUAAUACCAUGUAUUCUAGGUCAGUGCUUGUGACUGGAAGAGAGAUGUCAAGUUAUAUUACAAAUUUAUUGAACUCCUAGUGAUCAUGAUGUGCAUCAAAGAAGUUAUGAUAGUAGCAUUCGAGCUCUUACUUCGUCAAGUGAACAUGCUGAUUGGGUUGGCCUAUCUGGCAUCUCGGGCCAGGCCUGUGAUGACGUGUGCAAGAAGGGUCCAGUUCUGCACUAUACUAACUUAUAUUCUGUUUGAUUUUUUUAACUCUAGUUUUGUGUGCAUAUUUUAUCAGUAGUCCGCAAGUAAAAGACCUGUUCAAUGCAUCGAGAAACGGGAGGGGAAAAAAAAGAGUUGGGAGGGGGGGCGUUAUGAGUAAGGCUUUUAGAAAUUAAAAACUAUGUUUUUUUCUGUCCUGCCAAACUAGCAUUGAAAGACACAACGUCUGAAAUGAAAUCAUCUACUGAGCAAAGAUGUGCUUCUUCCAUUUGCAAAUGGCGCUCCCAAUUUUAUUUUUUUUAACCUAUUUGUUAUUUAAAAUUUUCCACUGCAGCAUUGUCCUCAACAAGUAUGGCUUCUCUGUUUCCCAAGUGAUCUCCAUGUAAAAGCAAGGAUCUCUUCCUGCAGAUUAGGUACACGAUGUGAGAAUUGAUCCACAUGGACUUAAACGCACUGUCUUCAAAUUCUUGUUGACAGUGUAGAGAUAGAUUUCAGUGGCAAUUAUUUUUGAGGAUAAAAAUACUAAGUGCCUCUUUGUUCACCUCUGUCCAGCCAAAAUAGUAUGGAAAGCGACUGCAUCUGGAAUGGAA